GCGGCCGUGGCGGCUGCCUCAGGGCGGCGCUGCGUGGCGCAGCUCCCGUGCGGCUGCUGAAGCGGCUAAAUGGCCUGCUGCCCAGGUCUCUGCCUGAGGAAAUUGCUCUGCCGCCCCGCGGACGACCUUGUCGGUGGCGUCACUCGUUGGUGCUUGUGGCUUUUCUUUUGCCAAGGAGUAUAAACCUACACUGACAUAGCAAAUGAUGUAUUCAUUUACAAACCCUUUUGGAAGGAAAGCAUAUAACAUGAUUUCUGGAAUGCAGUUUUUAUCCCAGAUGGGAUUGGAGAUCCUGAUGCUGGCUGAGUUUCUGCAGGGACAGCAGAGAAGAUGCGGGAGACAGGAGACAUUGUCCAGAUGCAGCACAAGCUACUGCAGAUCCACUGAUUGUUGGUAACUGCUCUUGUGUAGAUUCUUUCCUUGUGGCUCCUGUAAGAUCCUACAGAUAGAAGACUUUGUUGAUCAGCUGACCCACAGCAUCUUGACUCUGUGCAAAAAAGCGACACUCAGCUCCCACUCACUUUUUUCUGUCCAUAUCAUUAUCAAGAUGAAUUUCCAGACAAAAAUGCUAAUUUUUUCUUUGGGAAAAUAAAUUUUCUUGUGUAUUCA
Molecule: long non-coding RNA, 609 nt
Filed under: Apteryx owenii (little spotted kiwi)
Lineage: Eukaryota; Metazoa; Chordata; Aves; Apterygiformes; Apterygidae
Description: lncRNA (ENSAOWG00000018166.1)
Source: RNAcentral